UAGGGAAUCUUCCGCAAUGGGCGAAAGCCUGACGGAGCAACGCCGCGUGAGUGAUGAAGGUCUUCGGAUCGUAAAACUCUGUUAUUAGGGAAUAACAAAUGUGUAAGUAACUAUGCACGUCUUGACGGUACCUAAUCAGAAAGCCACGGCUAACUACGUGCCAGCAGCCGCGGUAAUACGUAGGUGGCAAGCGUUAUCCGGAAUUAUUUGGCGUAAAGCGCGCGUAGGCGGUUUUUUAAGUCUGAUGUGAAAGCCCACGGCUCAACCCUGGAGCGUCAUUGGAAACUGGCACACUUGUGUGCAGAAUAGGAAAGUGGCAUUCCAUGUGUAGCGGUGACAUGCGCAGAGAUAUGGAGGCACCCCAGUGGCGACGGCGACUUUCUGGUCUGUAACUGACGCUGAUGUGCGAAAGCGUGGGGAUCAAACAGG
RNAcentral lists this ribosomal RNA (429 nucleotides) under Actinomycetes bacterium. Its description in RNAcentral is "Actinobacteria bacterium partial 16S ribosomal RNA". It matches the Rfam family "Bacterial small subunit ribosomal RNA", at positions 355 to 776 of the family's 1533-position model. The record is from RNAcentral. Lineage: Bacteria; Bacillati; Actinomycetota; Actinomycetes.